This 497-nucleotide ribosomal RNA is filed under the name uncultured bacterium. Its description in RNAcentral is "partial 16S ribosomal RNA". It matches the Rfam family "Bacterial small subunit ribosomal RNA", at positions 28 to 507 of the family's 1533-position model. The record is from RNAcentral.
GAUGAACGCUGGCGGCGUGCCUAAUACAUGCAAGUCGAGCGAACAGACGAGGAGCUUGCUCCUCUGACGUUAGCGGCGGACGGGUGAGUAACACGUGGAUAACCUACCUAUAAGACUGGGAUCACUUCGGGAAACCGGAGCUAAUACCGGAUAAUAUAUUGAACCGCAUGGUUCAAUAGUGAAAGACGGUUUUGCUGUCACUUAUAGAUGGAUCCGCGCCGCAUUAGCUAGUUGGUAAGGUAACGGCUUACCAAGGCAACGAUGCGUAGCCGACCUGAGAGGGUGAUCGGCCACACGGGAACUGAAACACGGUCCAGAGUCCUACGGGAGGCAGCAGUAGGGAAUCGUCCGCAAUGGGCGAAAACUUGACGGAGCAACGCCGCGUGAGUGAUGAAGGUCUUCGGAUCGUAAAACUCUGUUAUUAGGGAAGAACAAAUGUGGAAGUAACUAUGCACGUCUUGACGGUACCUAAUCAGAAAGCCACGGCUAACUACGUG